AAAGCAUCUAAGCACGAAACUUGCCCCGAGAUGAGUUCUCCCUGACUCCUUGAGAGUCCUGAAGGAACGUUGAAGACGACGACGUUGAUAGGCCGGGUGUGUAAGCGCAGCGAUGCGUUGAGCUAACCGGUACUAAUGAACCGUGAGGCUUAACCUUACAACGCCGAAGGUGUUU
RNAcentral lists this ribosomal RNA (175 nucleotides) under Escherichia coli. Its description in RNAcentral is "partial 23S ribosomal RNA". The stretch from base 1 to 157 matches the Rfam family "Bacterial large subunit ribosomal RNA", at positions 2774 to 2925 of the family's 2925-position model. Lineage: Bacteria; Pseudomonadati; Pseudomonadota; Gammaproteobacteria; Enterobacterales; Enterobacteriaceae. The record is from RNAcentral.